This 253-nucleotide ribosomal RNA is filed under the name uncultured bacterium. RNAcentral describes it as "partial 16S ribosomal RNA". It matches the Rfam family "Bacterial small subunit ribosomal RNA", at positions 524 to 776 of the family's 1533-position model. The record is from RNAcentral.
UACGUAGGGUGCGAGCGUUGUCCGGAAUUACUGGGCGUGAAGAGCUCGUAGGUGGUUUGUCGCGUUGUUCGUGAAAACUCACAACUCAAUUGUGGGCGUGCGGGCGAUACGGGCAGACUGGAGUACUGCAGGGGAGACUGGAAUUCCUGGUGUAGCGGUGGAAUGCGCAGAUAUCAGGAGGAACACCGGUGGCGAAGGCGGGUCUCUGGGCAGUAACUGACGCUGAGGAGCGAAAGCGUGGGGAGCGAACAGG